GGUUGAUCCUGCCAGUAGUCAUAUGCUUGUCUCAAAGAUUAAGCCAUGCAUGUCCAAGUAUAAACUGUUGUACGGUGAAACUGCGAAUGGCUCAUUAUAUCAGUUAUAAUUUAUUUGAUAGUACAUUACUAAAUGGAUAACCGUGGUAAUUCUAGAGCUAAUACAUGCACAAGGGCCCUGCGUUAGUGGGGCUGUAUUUAUUAGAUUAAAACCAAUGCUUCGGCUAGUGGUGAAUCAUAAUAACUGAUCAGAUCGUAAGACCAUGAGUCGGACGACGUAUCAUUCAAAUUU
RNAcentral lists this ribosomal RNA (291 nucleotides) under uncultured eukaryote. RNAcentral describes it as "partial 18S ribosomal RNA". It matches the Rfam family "Eukaryotic small subunit ribosomal RNA", at positions 6 to 306 of the family's 1831-position model. The record is from RNAcentral.